AAGGUGGCCUGUGAGGGUUGCUGGAGGUAUCAGAAGUGCGAAUGCUGACAUAAGUAACGAUAAAGCGGGUGAAAAGCCCGCUCGCCGGAAGACCAAGGGUUCCUGUCCAACGUUAAUCGGGGCAGGGUGAGUCGACCCCUAAGGCGAGGCCGAAAGGCGUAGUCGAUGGGAAACGGGUUAAUAUUCCCGUACUUGGUGUUACUGCGAAGGGGGGACGGAGAAGGCUAUGUUGGCCGGGCGACGGUUGUCCCGGUUUAAGCGUGUAGGUGUGUGUUCCAGGUAAAUCCGGUUCACUUUAACACUGAGGCGUGAUGACGAGGCACUACGGUGCUGAAGCAACAAAUGCCCUGCUUCCAGGAAAAGCCUCUAAGCAUCAGGUAACAUCAAAUCGUACCCCAAACCGACACAGGUGGUCAGGUAGAGAAUACCAAGGCGCUUGAGAGAACUCGGGUGAAGGAACUAGGCAAAAUGGUGCCGUAACUUCGGGAGAAGGCACGCUGACACGUAGGUGAAGUGAUUUACUCAUGGAGCUGAAGUCAGUCGAAGAUACCAGCUGGCUGCAACUGUUUAUUAAAAACACAGCACUGUGCAAACACGAAAGUGGACGUAUACGGUGUGACGCCUGCCCGGUGCCGGAAGGUUAAUUGAUGGGGUCAGCGCAAGCGAAGCUCCUGAUCGAAGCCCCGGUAAACGGCGGCCGUAACUAUAACGGUCCUAAGGUAGCGAAAUUCCUUGUCGGGUAAGUUCCGACCUGCACGAAUGGCGUAAUGAUGGCCAGGCUGUCUCCACCCGAGACUCAGUGAAAUUGAACUCGCUGUGAAGAUGCAGUGUACCCGCGGCAAGACGGAAAGACCCCGUGAACCUUUACUAUAGCUUGACACUGAACAUUGAGCCUUGAUGUGUAGGAUAGGUGGGAGGCUUUGAAGCGUGGACGCCAGUCUGCGUGGAGCCGACCUUGAAAUACCACCCUUUAAUGUUUGAUGUUCUAACGUGGACCCGUGAUCCGGGUUGCGGACAGUGUCUGGUGGGUAGUUUGACUGGGGCGGUCUCCUCCUAAAGAGUAACGGAGGAGCACGAAGGUUGGCUAAUCCUGGUCGGACAUCAGGAGGUUAGUGCAAUGGCAUAAGCCAGCUUGACUGCGAGCGUGACGGCGCGAGCAGGUGCGAAAGCAGGUCAUAGUGAUCCGGUGGUUCUGAAUGGAAGGGCCAUCGCUCAACGGAUAAAAGGUACUCCGGGGAUAACAGGCUGAUACCGCCCAAGAGUUCAUAUCGACGGCGGUGUUUGGCACCUCGAUGUCGGCUCAUCACAUCCUGGGGCUGAAGUAGGUCCCAAGGGUAUGGCUGUUCGCCAUUUAAAGUGGUACGCGAGCUGGGUUUAGAACGUCGUGAGACAGUUCGGUCCCUAUCUGCCGUGGGCGCUGGAGAACUGAGGGGGGCUGCUCCUAGUACGAGAGGACCGGAGUGGACGCAUCACUGGUGUUCGGGUUGUCAUGCCAAUGGCACUGCCCGGUAGCUAAAUGCGGAAGAGAUAAGUGCUGAAAGCAUCUAAGCACGAAACUUGCCCCGAGAUGAGUUCU
RNAcentral lists this ribosomal RNA (1576 nucleotides) under Salmonella enterica. RNAcentral's name for it is "bacterial LSU rRNA". It matches the Rfam family "Bacterial large subunit ribosomal RNA", at positions 1253 to 2812 of the family's 2925-position model. Lineage: Bacteria; Pseudomonadati; Pseudomonadota; Gammaproteobacteria; Enterobacterales; Enterobacteriaceae. The record is from RNAcentral.